Long non-coding RNA from Salvia splendens (bonfire salvia), 2270 nucleotides. RefSeq lists it as uncharacterized. The record is from RefSeq and is a predicted model, not a curated record. The transcript has 5 exons. NCBI's taxonomy places the organism in Eukaryota, Viridiplantae, Streptophyta, Magnoliopsida, Lamiales, Lamiaceae.
CCGCAUUUCGAGAUUUCCUACUAUAUUUUUCUUUCCCUCACAAUAGCAAUCCAUAUUCUCUCUGAAAUCGCCGCCGCUCAUCAUCGCCGGAACCUGGAGAGUUCGUUGCUUUCGCCCUGCUUUCUACUUCUAACAGAGAUUAAUUAGUAAUCAUGUCAAUCAACUUUGGAGUUGGGAGUACCAGCAGCCUCAGUGAGUCUCCAACAUCAGCAAGUGAGACCAUAGGAGAUCUAUCCAUUGAGGUUGCAGAGAGUCCUAAUCCAAGUAAUGCUAAGCCACCAAAGCCAAACCUGGAAAGAAAACAAAGGUCAGAUGUUUGGAAUCACUAUAGAGUCGAAUACGAUGGUGAUGGUUUAAAGACAUGUCAUUGCAUGUAUUGUGGCCAUAAAUAUCAGAAAGUUUCAAGUAAAUCUGGAAUUGGAAACAUGCUACGUCAUUUGGACAAUUGUCCUAGAAAAAACACAAAGGAUGUUAGUGAAAUUAUAACGGGGGUAAAUCUAAGUUUGAUUCUGACCAUUUUCGUGCGAUGAUAUGUUCUGCUAUAGUUGUUCAUGAUUUGCCAUUUCGAUUCGUAGAAUAUGAACGCAUUGUAGCUUGUUUUGAGUACCUCAAGUCUGAUAUUAAAUUGGUUACUAGAAACACAGUGAAGGCUGAUAUCUUGAAAAUGUAUGAAAGAGAAAAGAUUAGGAUGAAGUCAAAAUUAAGUAAAAUACCUGGUAGAUUGAGUUUGACUUCAGAUUGUUGGAGUUCCAUUACCUCUGAUGGUUAUAUUUCACUAACAUGUCACUUCAUUUAUGAAGAGUGGGUCUUACAAAAGUUUGUGUUGAACUUUUCCUUAAUGCCAUCUCCGCAUACUGGCGCAGCAUUGUCUAACAAGUUAUUUUCUAUGCUUUGUGAUUGGGGAAUUGAAAAUAAAGUGUUUUCUUUAACUUUGGAUAAUGCUAGUGCAAAUGAUUUGUCAGUGGAGUUGUUGCUCACACAAAUGAAUAUGAAUAAUUCACUUUUUUCUAAUGGCGAAUUCUUUCAUAUCCGUUGUUGUGCACAUAUAGUCAAUUUGGUUGUUCAAGAUGGUUUGAAGGAUAUUGAGCAAUUUGUUGUAAAGAUUCGUGAUAGUGUCAAAUAUGUGCGAGGUUCACAAACAAGGAAGAAAAAUUUUCUGGAAUGUGUCAGCAAAGUUGGUUUGGAUCGUAAGAGAGGUUUGAGGCAAGAUGUGACUACUAGGUGGAAUUCAACCUUUUUUAUGCUUGAUAAUGCAUUAUAUUACAAGAAAGCUUUCAUUCAUUUUCAACUAUGAGAUUCCAACUAUAAGUCUUGUCCUUCAUUAGAAGAAUGGGUCAAAAUUGAGAAGAUUCGUGGUUUCUUGAGCUUGUUUUAUGACGUCUCUAAUUUGUUUUCUGGAAGCAGCUACCCUACAUCUAAUCUGUAUUUCCGUCCAGUUGUUAUGUGCUAUAGUUCAUUGAGACAACAUCAAAACAGUUCAGACCCGUACCUCAAAAAAAUGGUUGAAUUGAUGCUACCAAAGUUUGAGAAGUAUUGGUCAGAUUUUAGUAUGGUCUUGACUAUAGUUGUAGUCUUUGAUCCACGCUAUAAGCUUCAAUUUGUGGACUUCUUUUAUAAGAAGCUAUAUGGCCCCAACUCUAGUCAGUUUUCGUUGGUGAAAGAGAAAUUGUUUGCAUUGUUUGAAGAUUAUUGCAAGUUCUACAAUGACAAAUUUGAUAUUGAUAAAAAUGGGAAUUCUACUGCAAGUGGACAGAAUUGUGACUUCACAAAUGCUGAUUCAAUGGCAGUGGUGGAGGAGUUCAAUUAAUUGGAUGUUGAGUUUGGAUUGAGCCAACAAAAAUCCCAAUUAGAGUUGUACAUGGAAGAGAAAAGAUUGGAUGUCAAAUCCAAUCUUGAUAUACUUAACUAUUGGAAAGGAUCACAAUUCAAGUAUCCACAUGUUGCUUGCAUGGCUCGUGACAUUUUGAGCAUUCCCAUAACUACUGUUGCUUCUGAAUCUGUGUUUAAUGUUGGUGGAAGAGUUCUUGACCAAUAUCGUAGUUCACUCAAGCCAAGCAAUGCGGAGGCAAUAAUUUGCACUAGAGAUUGGUUGUUUGGAAAAAAGGUAUUAAAGGAGAAAUACCAACAAAUGACUUAGCCGAGGACUGUUUAAAUGUUGAUGAUGAAGCUCAUUGUGGAAGCUCCACAACCUAAACAGCCUUGACUUUUGCUACUUCUUGAAUGCAUCAAAGGUUAGGGAUUUGAGGUAAUCAAAACAUGUUGCAGAGUGC